Molecule: ribosomal RNA, 460 nt
Filed under: uncultured bacterium
Lineage: Bacteria
Description: partial 16S ribosomal RNA
Rfam family: Bacterial small subunit ribosomal RNA
Source: RNAcentral
CCUACGGGUGGCAGCAGUGAGGAAUAUUGGUCAAUGGACGAGAGCCUGAACCAGCCAAGUAGCGUGAAGGAUGACUGCCCUAUGGGUUGUAAACUUCUUUUAUAUGGGAAUAAAGUGUUCCACGUGUGGGAUUUUGUAUGUACCAUAUGAAUAAGGAUCGGCUAACUCCGUGCCAGCAGCCGCGGUAAUACGGAGGAUCCGGGCGUUAUCCGGAUUUAUUGGGUUUAAAGGGAGAGUAGGUGGAUUGUGAAGGCAGUUGUGAAAGGUUGCGGCUCAACCCUGAAAUUGCAGUGGAAACUGGCAGUCUUGAGUACAGGAGAGGUGGGCGGAAUUCGUGGUGUAGCGGUGAAAUGCUUAGAUAUCACGAAGAACUCCGAUUGCGAAGGCAGUUCACUGGACUGCAACUGACGCUGAGGCUCGAAAGUGUGGGUAUCAAACAGGAUUAGAUACCCGGGUAGUC